GCAAAACUGAGCAGAAAGUACAGAGGUCCCAUUAUACUCUUGCCCCCACAUGUGCACACACAGAGCCUUCCUUACCAUCAACAUCCCACACCAGAAUAGUAUAUUGUUACAAUUCAUAAACCUACAUAAACACACCAUUAUCACCCACCAUUAUUAUCCAUAGUUUACGUUAGGGUUCACUCUUGGUUUGUUAUACAUUCUAUAGGUUUU
Molecule: long non-coding RNA, 210 nt
Filed under: Pan troglodytes (chimpanzee)
Lineage: Eukaryota; Metazoa; Chordata; Mammalia; Primates; Hominidae
Description: long non-coding RNA NONPTRT016129
Source: RNAcentral